AAACGACUCUCGGCAACGGAUAUCUCGGCUCACGCAUCGAUGAAGAACGUAGCAAAAUGCGAUACUUGGUGUGAAUUGCAGAAUCCCGUGAACCAUCGAGUUUUUGAACGCAAGUUGCGCCAGAAGCCAUCCGGCUGACGGCACGCCUGCCUGGGCGUCACGC
RNAcentral lists this ribosomal RNA (163 nucleotides) under Urospermum picroides. Its description in RNAcentral is "5.8S ribosomal RNA". It matches the Rfam family "5.8S ribosomal RNA". Rfam says of the family: 5.8S ribosomal RNA (5.8S rRNA) is a component of the large subunit of the eukaryotic ribosome. Lineage: Eukaryota; Viridiplantae; Streptophyta; Magnoliopsida; Asterales; Asteraceae. The record is from RNAcentral.